UAUUGGCUUGGAUCCAAUUGAAGAUGAUACAGAAGGUUCUUUGGAAUGGCUUUCACACUUCCAAAACUUGCGGAAGGAGAUCGUCAAACUAUGGAAGGAAUGCAAUGUUUCAUUAGUUCACAGGAGCUACUUUUUCCUUCUGUUUAAAGGUGAUCCGACAGAUUCCAUCUACUUGGAGGUAGAGCUCAGGAGGUUGUCAUAUCUUAGGGAUAAAUCCGCUCGUUGUAAUCAAGCUCUGGAAGAUAGUCAGGCCUUGACUGCUGUUUCAAGCAUACAAGAUCUUUGUCGUGAGAGGCAGAUGCUCACCAAGCAGUAGCAAAAGAAGCUCACCAGGAAAGAUAGAGAGAUACUCUUCCAAACUUGGGGGAUUGGUUUGAAUACCAAGCAUAGAAGUUUGCAGUUAGCCCACUGGUUGUGGUCCGACACAGAAGACAUGGACCAUGUGGCCGAGAGUGCCAAAAUUGUUGCAAAGCUUGUUGGUUUUGUUCAGCCAGAGGAAGCUUCCAAGGAGAUGUUUGGCCUCAACUUUACACCUUGGCGAUCAAAAACAAAACUUCGUAAGUGGAAAAGCACUAUGAUGUCUUUCUUGUGAAGCUUUGUUUUGGAUGCUAUUACUUUUGCGGAAUGGUGACGAAAUCGUUUCUCCAACUAUCUGAGGUGGUAUGAAUUCCUUUUAACUGGUAAUAUGUAUGUAAUGAGAUGCAGGUCAUUGUACAAAA
Molecule: long non-coding RNA, 719 nt
Organism: Eucalyptus grandis
Lineage: Eukaryota; Viridiplantae; Streptophyta; Magnoliopsida; Myrtales; Myrtaceae
Exons: 2
Source: RefSeq, a predicted model, not a curated record